GGUUGUACAACAGGGGACAUGAUACUGUAAAAUUAAUCCAAAUAGGGAGGGCUAUGUGACUGCUGCAAAGUUUGCAUGACCCUGAAGAGUAGAUGGUGUGCAGAAAGCAGGAUAUUGAAACUGCUUGGUAUGUAGAAAUAGAUAGAGAAGAACAAAGAAGUACUAAGCUGUUCUAACUGCAAGGCCAGCUGGACAGGCAAGUAUCAUUCACAAAGAUACUUUUAAGAUAAUAGUACAAGUCACAUAGCAACCAAUCAUGAGCUCGGCUUUUGCAAUAUGUAUGAGCUAAUUAACGAACAUAUAUAAACUGUGUAAUCUGUCACAAUAAACUGAGACUUGAUGAUCAUGA
Molecule: non-coding RNA, 349 nt
Organism: Lonchura striata (white-rumped munia)
Lineage: Eukaryota; Metazoa; Chordata; Aves; Passeriformes; Estrildidae
Source: RefSeq, a predicted model, not a curated record